CUUUAUAGUCCCAUCAGAGUGGCUGCUUAUAAGCCGAUUUCUAAUAUGGAGCAUCGAUAGGAUCUCCCCAUUCAUCGACAUAUCCAAUUCAGGACCUUCGACACAGGACCACAGCUCUGCCUGCACAAAUAGGGGGCAAGGGCAGCCAGUAUCUUCUCCUCGAGGUUCUUUGAUGAUUGCAGCACACUGAUGAAUUUCUCAAGCAAGGAUUUGCGUGCAACGUCUCUUAUGCCACAAUCAGGAAAGCUAUAGAGCAUGUACACGAGCCACGUAGCCACGAUGAGGCUAGACUUGGCAAUCUCUAUUGAGUUACUUACUAAGCAUUCCUCCAAAGCUUUGAAAAUCAACCCUUUCUCAUGGUUUGACAGCACAAAUGCCAUCCUCUUCUCCCAGUUUCUUGAUGCUUUCUCUUCUUCUCUCUAAGAAUAUGCGUUUUCAAAACAAAAUCAAUACACCAUAGGAAAAUGAAAUCUACAUAAAGUCAUAAACAGGACCAUUUCUUACAAUUUCAGCAUAUUCUGCUUCAUUGGUCUUUGUUUCUUCCCCUCUCAUCAUAGCAUUGUAAGGCUGGUCGAAUCCUGCGAUUUUUAGUAGCCAACACUCCAUAUAUGUCUUCUUAGAGCCAGCAAAAUGCCCCGAAAGAGAUGACAGUGUGCCAAGAGCCAUGACUUGAGAAGAUGGAAAAUCUUUUCUUUGAAGAGCUUCUAGUAAUGCUUCCAUGGCUUCUUCUCUGUAGAUGCUCAUCUUCCGUGGAGCAGUCUGAGAUGAAAAAGGUCAAGCUGAAGAAGAAGGGUGGCGAUGGCUGGUUUCUGCACCAUCGGUGACAUUUGCAGGUAAACCAAGAGGGUGUGCAUGGUGCUAAAUGUUCCUUCAUCCUUUAUUAUUUGCAAAAUCUGGUUGCUGAAUGUUCUCCUGAAAUUUUGGAAGGAAUGCAUAUCAAAGUUUACAUGGAGCAAGUAUGUAUAUUUUGGAAGUUGAAAAAAGGUUAAUGGCCUUGAAAUGCAUUAACUUGUGUCCGUUCUUGGUUUUGCAAACGACUUUGAAUUUUUUUCCAUUUGUUGCAAUUUUCAUGAUUCAACUAUUCCUGGCAAA
Molecule: long non-coding RNA, 1092 nt
Organism: Salvia miltiorrhiza (redroot sage)
Lineage: Eukaryota; Viridiplantae; Streptophyta; Magnoliopsida; Lamiales; Lamiaceae
Exons: 3
Source: RefSeq, a predicted model, not a curated record